RNAcentral lists this ribosomal RNA (254 nucleotides) under uncultured bacterium. Its description in RNAcentral is "partial 16S ribosomal RNA". It matches the Rfam family "Bacterial small subunit ribosomal RNA", at positions 524 to 776 of the family's 1533-position model. The record is from RNAcentral.
UACGAAGGGGGCUAGCGUUGUUCGGAAUCACUGGGCGUAAAGCGCACGCAGGCGGGUCGUUAAGUCAGGGGUGAAAUCCCGAGGCUCAACCUCGGAACUGCCUUUGAUACUGGCGACCUUUGAGUCCGGGAGAGGUUGGUGGAACUCCGAGUGUAGAGGUGAAAUUCGUAGAUAUUCGGAAGAACACCAGUGGCGAAGGCGGCCAACUGGUCCGGCACUGACGCUGAGGUGCGAAAGCGUGGGGAGCAAACAGG